GCCAUGCAUGUAUAAGUAUAAACGCUUUAAGCGUGAAACUGCGUACGGCUCAUCACAACAGCAAUAAUUUACUUGAUCUUGACAACCUACAUGGAUAACUGUGGUAAUUCUAGAGCUAAUACAUGCACCAAAGCUCCGACCCGCGAGGGGAGAGCGCAUUUAUUAGAACAAAACCAAGCGGCUUCGGCCGUCCAUUGUUGACUCAGAAUAACUAAGCUGAUCGUACGGUCUUGUACCGACGACGUGUCUUUCAAGUUUCUGCCUUAUCAACUUUCGAUGGUAGUGUAUCUGACUACCAUGGUGGCGACGGGUAACGGAGGAUAAGGGUUCGACUCCGGAGAAGGGGCCUGAGAAAUGGCCACUACGUCUAAGGAUGGCAGCAGGCGCGCAAAUUACCCACUCUCAAUGCGAGGAGGUAGUGACGAGAAAUAACGAGGCCGUUCUCUUUGAGGCCGGUCAUCGGAAUGGGUACAAUUUAAACCCUUUAACGAGUAUCUAUGAGAGGGCAAGUCUGGUGCCAGCAGCCGCGGUAAUUCCAGCUCUCAAAAUGCAUAGAAUUAUUGCUGCGGUUAAAAAGCUCGUAGUUGGAUCUGUGCCUGUGCUCCGGUCCACCUCGCGGUGCGCACUGGGUGUCACAGGCUUUCCUGCAGUGUUCAGCCCCGGCGCCUUCACCGGCACCGGUGUGUUGAUGCUGCAAGUUUACUUUGAACAAAUCGGAGUGCUCCAAACAGGCGUUUGCUUGAACGUUCGUGCAUGGAAUAAUAGAAGAGGAUUUCGGUUCAAUUUUAUUGGUUUUAUUGGCCGAGAUAAUGGUUAACAGAGACAAACGGGGGCAUUUGUAUUGCUGC
Molecule: ribosomal RNA, 848 nt
Filed under: Pratylenchus thornei
Lineage: Eukaryota; Metazoa; Nematoda; Chromadorea; Rhabditida; Pratylenchidae
Description: SSU rRNA
Rfam family: Eukaryotic small subunit ribosomal RNA
Source: RNAcentral